This 426-nucleotide ribosomal RNA is filed under the name uncultured Actinomycetes bacterium. Its description in RNAcentral is "bacterial SSU rRNA". It matches the Rfam family "Bacterial small subunit ribosomal RNA", at positions 958 to 1385 of the family's 1533-position model. Lineage: Bacteria; Bacillati; Actinomycetota; Actinomycetes. The record is from RNAcentral.
AACGCGAAGAACCUUACCAAGGUUUGACAUGGCCGGAAAACUCGCAGAGAUGCGGGGUCCUUCGGGGCCGGUCACAGGUGGUGCAUGGCUGUCGUCAGCUCGUGUCGUGAGAUGUUGGGUUAAGUCCCGCAACGAGCGCAACCCUCGUCCUAUGUUGCCAGCGGGUUAUGCCGGGGACUCAUGGGAGACUGCCGGGGUCAACUCGGAGGAAGGUGGGGAUGACGUCAAGUCAUCAUGCCCCUUAUGUCUUGGGCUGCAAACAUGCUACAAUGGCCGGUACAAAGCGCUGCGACAUCGUGAGAUGAAGCGAAUCGCAUAAAGCCGGUCUCAGUUCGGAUCGGGGUCUGCAACCCGGCCCCGUGAAGCCGGAGUCGCUAGUAAUCGCGGAUCAGCAACGCCGCGGUGAAUACGUUCCCGGGCCUUGUA